This 1637-nucleotide ribosomal RNA is filed under the name Alkalibacillus sp. BAB-4192. RNAcentral describes it as "bacterial SSU rRNA". It matches the Rfam family "Bacterial small subunit ribosomal RNA". The record is from RNAcentral. Lineage: Bacteria; Bacillati; Bacillota; Bacilli; Caryophanales; Bacillaceae.
AGAGGGAACCACACAUCUAUUGAUCUGUACCCCAGGCACACAGACGUCGUAGCAAGUUACCCAUAGAGUUUGAUCCUGGCUCAAUAAGUCGUAACAAGGUAACCCGUAUAGGUUUUGAAUUCUGCUCAGGACGAACGCUGGCGGCGUGCCUAAUACAUGCAAGUCGAGCGCGGGAAGCGAGCUGAAGCCCUUCGGGGUGGACGCUCGUGGAACGAGCGGCGGACGGGUGAGUAACACGUGGGCAACCUACCUGUGAGACGGGGAUAACUCCGGGAAACCGGGGCUAAUACCGGAUAACGCAUUGAACCGCAUGGUUCGAUGAUCAAAGAUGGCUUCUUGCUAUCACUCACAGAUGGGCCCGCGGCGCAUUAGUUAGUUGGUGAGGUAACGGCUCACCAAGGCGACGAUGCGUAGCCGACCUGAGAGGGUGAUCGGCCACACUGGGACUGAGACACGGCCCAGACUCCUACGGGAGGCAGCAGUAGGGAAUCAUCCGCAAUGGACGCAAGUCUGACGGUGCAACGCCGCGUGAGCGAUGAAGGUCUUCGGAUCGUAAAGCUCUGUUGUGAGGGAAGAACAAGUGCCGUUCGAAUAGGGCGGCACCUUGACGGUACCUCACCAGAAAGCCCCGGCUAACUACGUGCCAGCAGCCGCGGUAAUACGUAGGGGGCAAGCGUUGUCCGGAAUUAUUGGGCGUAAAGCGCGCGCAGGCGGUUCCUUAAGUCUGAUGUGAAAGGCCACAGCUCAACUGUGGAGGGCCAUUGGAAACUGGGGAACUUGAGGACAGAAGAGGAGAGCGGAAUUCCACGUGUAGCGGUGAAAUGCGUAGAUAUGUGGAGGAACACCAGUGGCGAAGGCGGCUCUCUGGUCUGUAACUGACGCUGAGGCGCGAAAGCAUGGGUAGCGAACAGGAUUAGAUACCCUGGUAGUCCAUGCCGUAAACGUUGAGUGCUAGGUGUUAGGGGGUCCAACCCUUAGUGCUGCAGUUAACGCAAUAAGCACUCCGCCUGGGGAGUACGGCCGCAAGGCUGAAACUCAAAGGAAUUGACGGGGGCCUGCACAAGCGGUGGAGCAUGUGGUUUAAUUCGACGCAACGCGAAGAACCUUACCAGGUCUUGACAUCUUCGGACAGCCCAAGAGAUUGGGUCUUCCCUUCGGGGACCGAAUGACAGGUGGUGCAUGGUUGUCGUCAGCUCGUGUCGUGAGAUGUUGGGUUAAGUCCCGUAACGAGCGCAACCCCUGAUCUUAGUUGCCAGCAUUCAGUUGGGCACUCUAGGAUGACUGCCGGUGACAAACCGGAGGAAGGCGGGGAUGACGUCAAAUCAUCAUGCCCCUUAUGACCUGGGCUACACACGUGCUACAAUGGAUGGUACAAAGGGAAGCCAAACCGCGAGGUCGAGCUAAUCCCAUAAAGCCAUUCUCAGUUCGGAUUGUAGGCUGCAACUCGCCUGCAUGAAGCCGGAAUCGCUAGUAAUCGCGGAUCAGAAUGCCGCGGUGAAUACGUUCCCAGGCCUUGUACACACCGCCCGUCACACCACGAGAGUUGGCAACACCCGAAGUCGGUGGGGUAACCUUCACGGAGCCAGCCGCCGAAGGUGGGGCCAAUGAUUGGGGUGAAGUCGUAACAAAGGUAACCA